GAGUUUGAUCCUGGCUCAGGACGAACGCUGGCGGCGUGCCUAAUACAUGCAAGUCGAGCGAGCUUGCCUAGAUGAUUUUAGUGCUUGCACUAAAUGAAACCAGAUACAAGCGAGCGGCGGACGGGUGAGUAACACGUGGGUAACCUGCCCAAGAGACUGGGAUAACACCUGGAAACAGAUGCUAAUACCGGAUAACAACACUAGACGCAUGUCUAGAGUUUGAAAGAUGGUUCUGCUAUCACUCUUGGAUGGACCUGCGGUGCAUUAGCUAGUUGGUAAGGUAACGGCUUACCAAGGCAAUGAUGCAUAGCCGAGUUGAGAGACUGAUCGGCCACAUUGGGACUGAGACACGGCCCAAACUCCUACGGGAGGCAGCAGUAGGGAAUCUUCCACAAUGGACGAAAGUCUGAUGGAGCAACGCCGCGUGAGUGAAGAAGGGUUUCGGCUCGUAAAGCUUUGUUGGUAGUGAAGAAAGAUAGAGGUAGUAACUGGCCUUUAUUUGACGGUAAUUACUUAGAAAGUCACGGCUAACUACGUGCCAGCAGCCGCGGUAAUACGUAGGUGGCAAGCGUUGUCCGGAUUUAUUGGGCGUAAAGCGAGUGCAGGCGGUUCAAUAAGUCUGAUGUGAAAGCCUUCGGCUCAACCGGAGAAUUGCAUCAGAAACUGUUGAACUUGAGUGCAGAAGAGGAGAGUGGAACUCCAUGUGUAGCGGUGAAAUGCGUAGA
RNAcentral lists this ribosomal RNA (725 nucleotides) under uncultured bacterium. RNAcentral's name for it is "bacterial SSU rRNA". It matches the Rfam family "Bacterial small subunit ribosomal RNA", at positions 9 to 694 of the family's 1533-position model. The record is from RNAcentral.